Molecule: ribosomal RNA, 417 nt
Filed under: uncultured Gemmata sp.
Lineage: Bacteria; Pseudomonadati; Planctomycetota; Planctomycetia; Gemmatales; Gemmataceae
Description: bacterial SSU rRNA
Rfam family: Bacterial small subunit ribosomal RNA
Source: RNAcentral
GUGAACGAGCGACGCCGCGUGCGGGAUGAAGGCCUUCGGGUUGUAAAGCACUGUCGAGGGGGAGGAAGCCGCAAGGUUGACCUAUCCCUGGAGGAAGCACGGGCUAAGUUCGUGCCAGCAGCCGCGGUAAGACGAACCGUGCGAACGUUAUUCGGAAUCACUGGGCUUAAAGGGCGCGUAGGCGGGUCGACAAGUCUGUGGUGAAAUCCUCCAGCUUAACUGGAGAAGUGCCAUGGAUACUGUCGGUCUCGAGGAGGGUAGGGGCAUCUGGAACUGCCGGUGGAGCGGUGAAAUGCGUUGAGAUCGGAAGGAACGCCCGUGGCGAAAGCGGGCUCCUGGACCUCACCUGACGCUGAGACGCGAAAGCCAGGGUAGCGAACGGGAUUAGAUACCCCGGUAGUCCUGGCCGUAAACGAU